UGGUCAAGUUAUUAAGGGUGCAGGGCGGAUGCCUUGGCACUAGGAGCCGAUGAAGGACGUGAUAAGCUGCGAUAAGCUUCGGGGAGUUGCACGUAAACUUUGAUCCGAAGAUUUCCGAAUGAGGAAACUCACUUAGAGUAAUGUCUAAGUAUCAUUAAGUGAAUACAUAGCUUAAUGAGGGGAACUCAGGGAACUGAAACAUCUAAGUACCUGAAGGAAGAGAAAGAAAUUCGAUUCCGUAAGUAGCGGCGAGCGAACGCGGAUUAGCCCAAACCAAUAAAGUUUUCUUUAUUGGGGUUGCGGACAUAUCAUAACGAAGAGGUAUCGUAAUUGAAGAGGUUUGGAAAGACCCACCACAGAAGGUAAUAGUCCUGUAUGUUAAACGAGAAGACUUCAGAUAUGAUCCAGAGUACCACGGGACACGUGAAACCCUGUGGGAAGCAGGAGGGACCACCCUCCAAGGCUAAAUACUACCUAGUGACCGAUAGCGUAUAGUACCGUGAGGGAAAGGUGAAAAGAACCCCGGGAGGGGAGUGAAAUAGAACCUGAAACCCUGCACUUACAAGCUGUGGAAGCACAUUUCUUGUGUGACCGCGUACUUUUUGUAGAACGGGCCAACGAGUUACGUUAAGUAGCAAGGUUAAGCACUUAAGGUGCGGAGCCGUAGCGAAAGCGAGUUUUAACUGAGCGUUCAGUUACUUGACGUAGACCCGAAACCGGGCGACCUACCCAUGAGCAGGAUGAAGCGAAAGUAAAAUUUCGUGGAGGUCCGAACCCACGAGCGUUGAAAAGCUCGGGGAUGACUUGUGGGUAGCGGUGAAAUUCCAAUCGAGCCCGGAGAUAGCUGGUUCUCCCCGAAAUAGCUUUAGGGCUAGCCUCAAGGUGAGAGAUACGGAGGUAGAGCACUGAAUGUCCUAGGGGGUAUUGCACCUACCGAAGACUAUCAAACUCCGAAUGCCGUCAUCUUAUACUUGGGAGUCAGACUGUGGGUGAUAAGAUUCAUAGUCGAAAGGGCAACAGCCCAGAUCGUCAGCUAAGGUCCCUAAAUGUAAGUUAAGUGGUAAAGGAUGUGGGAUUGCACAGACAACCAGGAUGUUGGCUUAGAAGCAGCCACUCAUUCAAAGAGUGCGUAAUAGCUCACUGGUCGAGUGAUCCUGCGCCGAAGAUUUCCGGGGCUAAAACUUACUACCGAAGCUACGGCAUCAGUAAUGAUGGGUAGGGGAGCUUCCCAUACGGGUUGAAGCAUGACCGUAAGGACAUGUGGACAGUAUGGGAGUGAGAAUGUUGGCAUGAGUAGCGAGAUGUGGGUGAGAAUCCCACAGGCCGUAAACCCAAGGUUUCCAGGGGAAGGUUCGUCCGCCCUGGGUUAGUCGGGACCUAAGCUGAGGCCGAAAGGCGUAGGUGAUGGACAACAGGUUGAUAUUCCUGUACUACCGAUAACCGUUUGAGAGAAGGGAUGACACAGUAGGAUAAGCUAAGCACACUGUUGGUUAUGUGUGCCCAAGCAUUGAGGCAGUCAAAGUAGGCAAAUCCGCUUUGAUAAUGCUGGGAUGUGAUGGGGAGCGAAAUUUAGUAGCGAAGUAGCUGAUUUCACACUGUCAAGAAAAGUCUCUAUCGAGGUUAAAGGUACCCGUACCGCAAACCGACACAGGUGGGUGAGGAGAGUAUCCUAAGGCCAGCGAGAGAACUGUUGUUAAGGAACUCGGCAAAAUGACCCCGUAACUUAGGGAUAAGGGGUGCCACCAUCAGGUGGCCGCAGAGAAUAGGCCCAAGCGACUGUUUACCAAAAACAUAGGUUUCUGCUAAGUCGCAAGACGAUGUAUAGGAGCUGACGCCUGCCCGGUGCUGGAAGGUUAAGGGGAUCUGUUAGAGCAAUCGAAGCAGUGAACUUAAGCCCCAGUAAACGGCGGCCGUAACUAUAACGGUCCUAAGGUAGCGAAAUUCCUUGUCGGGUAAGUUCCGACCCGCACGAAAGGCGUAACGAUUUGGGCACUGUCUCAACAACAGACUCGGUGAAAUUGUAAUUCCGGUGAAGAUGCCGGAUACCUGCGACAGGACGGAAAGACCCCAUGGAGCUUUACUGUAGCUUGACAUUGGGUCUUGGUACUACAUGUACAGGAUAGGUGGGAGGCUUUGAAACCAGGACGCCAGUUUUGGCGGAGCCAUCCUUGGGAUACCACCCUUGUAGUACUGGGACUCUAACCAUAGGCCAUGAAUCUGGUCUUGGGACACUGUCAGGUGGGCAGUUUGACUGGGGCGGUCGCCUCCCAAAAGGUAACGGAGGCGCUCAAAGGUUCUCUCAGUACGGUCGGAAAUCGUACGUAGAGUGUAAAGGCAAAAGAGAGCUUGAUUGCAAGACAUACAGGUCGAGCAAGGAUGAAAAUCGGACUUAGUGAUCCGGUGGUUCUGCGUGGAAGGGCCAUCGCUCAACGGAUAAAAGCUACCCUGGGGAUAACAGGCUUAUCUCCCCAAGAGUCCACAUCGACGGGGAGGUUUGGCACCUCGAUGUCGGCUCAUCACAUCCUGGGGCUGUAGUAGGUCCCAAGGGUUGGGCUGUUCGCCCAUUAAAGUGGUACGCGAGCUGGGUUCAGAACGUCGUGAGACAGUUCGGUCCCUAUCCGUCGCAGGCGUAGGAAAUUUGAGAAGACCUGUCCUUAGUACGAGAGGACCGGGAUGGACGUACCUCUGGUGUACCAGUUGUCCUGCCAAGGGCAUGGCUGGGUAGCUAUGUACGGAAUGGAUAAGCGCUGAAAGCAUCUAAGCGCGAAGCCAACUUCAAGAUAAGAUUUCCCACCGCAAGGGUAAGACCCCAGAAAGACUAUCUGGUUGAUAGGUCGAAGGUGUAAGUGCAGCAAUGUAUUUAGCUUAUCGAUACUAAUAGGUCGAGGACUUGACCAAU
This 2899-nucleotide ribosomal RNA is filed under the name Clostridioides difficile. Its description in RNAcentral is "bacterial LSU rRNA". It matches the Rfam family "Bacterial large subunit ribosomal RNA". The record is from RNAcentral. Lineage: Bacteria; Bacillati; Bacillota; Clostridia; Peptostreptococcales; Peptostreptococcaceae.